CCGCGCUAAGCGGGGAGUUAGCGGUGCCCUGUACCUGCAAUCCGCUACAGCAGGGCCGAAUUCUUCUCCCGAGGCAGCCGUCCGCGGAGCCGGGCCCCGGCAAGGGGCGUCGAGCCCCGGGUCCUGUGCAACCGGCCGCCGUGAACCAUGUCAGGUCCUGACGGAAGCAGCAUUAUGCGGAAUGGCCGGUGUGCCGCAGGGAAACCUGGGAGGAGCUACCUGCCGGCGUACCGUCCGCAGGGCGUACGGUCGAGGGAGGGGUGCGC
RNAcentral lists this signal recognition particle RNA (266 nucleotides) under pig gut metagenome. RNAcentral describes it as "Bacterial large signal recognition particle RNA". It matches the Rfam family "Bacterial large signal recognition particle RNA". From Rfam's summary of the family: The signal recognition particle (SRP) is a universally conserved ribonucleoprotein involved in the co-translational targeting of proteins to membranes. Archaeal SRP consists of a 7S RNA and homologues of the eukaryotic SRP19 and SRP54 proteins. In most bacteria, the SRP consists of a 4.5S RNA and the Ffh protein (a homologue of the eukaryotic SRP54 protein). The record is from RNAcentral.